Molecule: ribosomal RNA, 615 nt
Filed under: Triticum aestivum (bread wheat)
Lineage: Eukaryota; Viridiplantae; Streptophyta; Magnoliopsida; Poales; Poaceae
Description: partial small subunit ribosomal RNA
Source: RNAcentral
AUGGGCGCGUACAAGUUCGUGUCGGAGCUAUGGAGGAGGAAGCAGUCGGACGUGAUGAGGUUCGUGCAGCGCGUGCGUUGCUGGGAGUACAGGCAGCAGCCGGCCAUCGUGCGCAUCACCAGGCCCACCCGCCCCGACAGGGCUCGCCGUCUCGGCUUCAAGGCCAAGCAGGGGUAUGUGGUCUACCGUAUCCGUGUCAGGCGUGGUGGCAGGAAGAGGCCAGUGCCCAAGGGUAUUGUCUAUGGUAAGCCCAAGCACCAGGGUAUUACCCAGCUCAAGUUCCAGAGGAACAAGAGGUCUGUUGCUGAAGAAAGAGCUGGGCGCAGGCUGGGUGGUCUUCGUGUGCUCAACUCCUACUGGGUGAAUGAGGACUCUACCUACAAGUACUUUGAGGUCAUCCUUGUUGAUGUUGCUCACAGUGCUGUCCGCAACGACCCAAGGAUCAACUGGCUCUGCAAGCCCGUGCACAAGCACCGUGAGCUUCGCGGACUCACGUCGGCGGGAAAGAAAUUCCGUGGUCUGCGUGGCAAGGGCCACCGCCACCACAAGAACAGGCCCUCAAGGAGAGCCACCUGGAAGCGCAACCAGACCGUCUCCCUCCGCCGCUACCGUUAA